This 82-nucleotide non-coding RNA is filed under the name Tannerella sp. The record is from RNAcentral. Lineage: Bacteria; Pseudomonadati; Bacteroidota; Bacteroidia; Bacteroidales; Tannerellaceae.
UUGCCACUGUUUAUUUUCUGUAAAUGGGAAGGCGUUCAAAACAGGAGUAAGUCAGAAGACCUGCCGGACAAUUCAUUUCAAU